GCUUCUGGAUAUGGAAUCAACUCUUAGUCUCGCCAUAGCCAGUGAACGGACACUAUAACUUGACAUCAGGAAAAUCAGUCACAUCUACAACUAAAUGCAGUGGCUUUGUACUGUGUCAACUUAGCUAAGCCAGAAGUUUUGUUUCUCAGAUUUCCUGUCCCUGGGUGCCUCUGGGUCAGGACAGGCCGCUGGAAAAUUUUUCAUGAGGACUGGAAGGCAGAAGUGAAAUACAGCAGCCAUGUUUUCACUGAGAGGUCCAGUACAGUCUUGCUUUGCUCCGGCUCACAUGAGUCAUCACUGACCUGAUCACUCACCUCACCUCGCCGGCUGAGUCACAGCUGGGCCAAGAAUUCCUCCAGCCCCCUGGAGAGCUUGUCUUUCAGCUUCACCCAGUCCUGGUCCACAUGCAUGUGCAACUUCAGGACCAAGUGUGCCACCUUCACAAGAUCACUGGCCUCACUGAAACUGGAGGCUUGGAAGUAGUAAGAUAGAGACGCAGGUACCAGUUUACCGUAAUAAAAUCCAGCUCACCCUCA
This 536-nucleotide long non-coding RNA is filed under the name Felis catus (domestic cat). Its description in RNAcentral is "lncRNA (ENSFCAG00000043523.2)". Lineage: Eukaryota; Metazoa; Chordata; Mammalia; Carnivora; Felidae. The record is from RNAcentral.